Long non-coding RNA from Peromyscus eremicus (cactus mouse), 732 nucleotides. RefSeq lists it as uncharacterized. Lineage: Eukaryota; Metazoa; Chordata; Mammalia; Rodentia; Cricetidae. The transcript is spliced from 2 exons. The record is from RefSeq and is a predicted model, not a curated record.
GUCACUGAAACCUUAGUUCUGGAUUGCUUAUGGUCUGCCUUUCUAGCAUCCCUUGCAGCUAGGCACAGUGCAGACAGGCACACAGGCAUGAUGGGAUAGCAUUCAGAAUCUUGACAUUGUUUUGUCAUACUUGUGGUCAGCAUGCUUUUCGUGGGAGCCCAGCUGGGAGACCAGCUCCUACAGUUUACAGCAGGGAACUCUUGAGGAGAGAGGAAUGAAGAACCUGCAAGUUCUCUGGAGCUCGCUUGCAACUCAGGCCAAAGUGGGGACUCAGGGUUGACGGAAACACCUCUUCCCCUUAAAAAAGUCACCGAUCAGCGAAAUGGUGAACACUUGCUCUCAAGCCAGUCAGCAGAAAGACUUUAUAAACUACCUGGGUGGUCAAGAGACCGGUCUCAGAAACGGGCUGCACAGGCUUAAGAAUGCGUUAUCUUAGGAGACAGGACAAGGCAGGGUGAGGCUCCUGGUGGCCGUGAGAAGCAGCGGUGGGGGAAUCAGCAGGAUUCCAUUUUGUACAUAUCACGUUUACUCGGAGGUUUAUGUCCACCACAGGUGUGAACGGGUGUCAGUGCCGGGCUGGGUAGAGCAUGGGGCGUGGCAGAUUCCAGAGAACUUGCCAGGUGUCCCUUCUUCCGGUGGCCAUGUUUAAAGUCUCAAUGCUGGUCAUUUGAUGAAUCCUAGAGGAAGAGGCUGUUAUCACAAACAUGGAAAUAAAACAUGGAGGCCUCUACA